This 491-nucleotide ribosomal RNA is filed under the name uncultured bacterium. RNAcentral describes it as "partial 16S ribosomal RNA". It matches the Rfam family "Bacterial small subunit ribosomal RNA", at positions 29 to 506 of the family's 1533-position model. The record is from RNAcentral.
AGUGAACGCUGGCGGUAGGCCUAACACAUGCCAGUCGAACGGCAGCACAGUAAGAGCUUGCUCUUACGGGUGGCGAGUGGCGGACGGGUGAGGAAUACAUCGGAAUCUACUUUUUCGUGGGGGAUAACGUAGGGAAACUUACGCUAAUACCGCAUACGACCUACGGGUGAAAGCAGGGGAUCUUCGGACCUUGCGCGAUUGAAUGAGCCGAUGUCGGAUUAGCUAGUUGGCGGGGUAAAGGCCCACCAAGGCGACGAUCCGUAGCUGGUCUGAGAGGAUGAUCAGCCACACUGGAACUGAGACACGGUCCAGACUCCUACGGGAGGCAGCAGUGGGGAAUAUUGGACAAUGGGCGCAAGCCUGAUCCAGCCAUACCGCGUGGGUGAAGAAGGCCUUCGGGUUGUAAAGCCCUUUUGUUGGGAAAGAAAAGCAGCAGGUUAAUACCCCGCUGUUCUGAGGGUACCCAAAGAAUAAGCACCGGCUAACUUCGG